Molecule: long non-coding RNA, 360 nt
Organism: Hyla sarda
Lineage: Eukaryota; Metazoa; Chordata; Amphibia; Anura; Hylidae
Exons: 4
Source: RefSeq, a predicted model, not a curated record
GGGGCCUAAACAAGCAAGGAUAUCAAUGCAGAGAGUGCAAUGCAGCUAUUCACAAGAAAUGUAUUGACAAAGUCAUUGCGAAGUGCACAGGAUCUGCAGUCAACAGCAAAGAAACAGUGCUCCACAAAGAGAGAUUCAAGAUAGACAUGCCACACAGAUUUAAGGUUUACAAUUAUAAAAGUCCAACCUUCUGUGAACACUGCGGAACUCUUCUGUGGGGCUUGGCAAAGCAAGGAUUAAAGUGCGCAGAAUGUGGUAUGAAUGUUCAUCACAAGUGUGAAAAUAAAGUGGGCAACCUCUGCGGGGUCAAUCAGAAGUUGAUGGCAGAAGCACUGGCAAUGAUAGAGAGUAGACAACAGG